RNAcentral lists this ribosomal RNA (473 nucleotides) under Escherichia coli. Its description in RNAcentral is "bacterial SSU rRNA". It matches the Rfam family "Bacterial small subunit ribosomal RNA", at positions 1 to 470 of the family's 1533-position model. The record is from RNAcentral. Lineage: Bacteria; Pseudomonadati; Pseudomonadota; Gammaproteobacteria; Enterobacterales; Enterobacteriaceae.
AAAUUGAAGAGUUUGAUCAUGGCUCAGAUUGAACGCUGGCGGCAGGCCUAACACAUGCAAGUCGAACGGUAACAGGAAUCAGCUUGCUGAUUCGCUGACGAGUGGCGGACGGGUGAGUAAUGUCUGGGAAACUGCCUGAUGGAGGGGGAUAACUACUGGAAACGGUAGCUAAUACCGCAUAAUGUCGCAAGACCAAAGAGGGGGACCUUCGGGCCUCUUACCAUCGGAUGUGCCCAGAUGGGAUUAGCUAGUAGGUGGGGUAACGGCUCACCUAGGCGACGAUCCCUAGCUGGUCUGAGAGGAUGACCAGCCACACUGGAACUGAGACACGGUCCAGACUCCUACGGGAGGCAGCAGUGGGGAAUAUUGCACAAUGGGCGCAAGCCUGAUGCAGCCAUGCCGCGUGUAUGAAGAAGGCCUUCGGGUUGUAAAGUACUUUCAGCGGGGAGGAAGGGAGUAAAGUUAAUACCUUU